AUACGGAGGAUGCGAGCGUUAUCCGGAUUUAUUGGGUUUAAAGGGUGCGUAGGCGGACGAUUAAGUCAGCUGUGAAAUGCCCGCGCUUAACGCGGGAAGUGCAGUUGAUACUGGUUGUCUGGAGUGCCGUUGCCGUGGGGGGAAUGUGUAGUGUAGCGGUGAAAUGCAUAGAUAUUACACAGAACGCCGAUUGUGAAGACACCUCACGAAGCGGUAACUGACGCUGAGGCACGAAAGCGUGGGGAUCGAACAGGAUUAGAUACCCUGGUAGUCCACGCAGUAAACGAUGAUUACUAGCUGUUUGCGAUAUACAGUAAGUGGCACAGCGAAAGCGUUAAGUAAUCCACCUGGGGAGUACGCCGGCAACGGUGAAACUCAAAGGAAUUGACGGGG
This 393-nucleotide ribosomal RNA is filed under the name uncultured bacterium. RNAcentral describes it as "partial 16S ribosomal RNA". It matches the Rfam family "Bacterial small subunit ribosomal RNA", at positions 523 to 918 of the family's 1533-position model. The record is from RNAcentral.